Molecule: ribosomal RNA, 239 nt
Filed under: uncultured bacterium
Lineage: Bacteria
Description: partial 16S ribosomal RNA
Rfam family: Bacterial small subunit ribosomal RNA
Source: RNAcentral
AGCGGCGGACGGGUGAGUAACGCGCGGGUAACCUGCCUCAUACAGGGGAUAACAGUUGGAAACGGCUGCUAAUACCGCAUAAGCGCACAGUACCGCAUGGUACCGUGUAGAAAACUCCGGUGGUAUGAGAUGGACCCGCGUCUGAUUAGCUAGUUGGUGGGGUAACGGCCUACCAAGGCGACGAUCAGUAGCCGACCUGAGAGGGUGACCGGCCACAUUGGGACUGAGACACGGCCCAA